GACGAACGCUGGCGGCGUGCUUAACACAUGCAAGUCGAACGCGCCUGUCCUCUGGGUUUCUGGGGGGUGGGUGAGUGGCGAACGGGUGAGUAACACGUGAGUAACCUGCCCCCUUCUUCGGGAUAACGGUCUGAAAGGGCUGCUAAUACCGGGUAUUCACUGGUCUCCGCAUGGGGUCUGGUGGAAAGGUUUUUUUCUGGUGGGGGAUGGGCUCGCGGCCUAUCAGCUUGUUGGUGGGGUGAUGGCCCACCAAGGCUUUGACGGGUAGCCGGCCUGAGAGGGUGACCGGUCACAUUGGGACUGAGAUACGGCCCAGACUACUACGGGAGGCAGCAGUGGGGAAGAUUGCACAAUGGGCGCAAGACUGAUGCAGCGACGCCGCGUGAGGGAUGGAGGCCUUCGGGUUGUGAACCUCUUUCGCCCGUGGUCAAGCCGCGACGUGGGUCGUGGUGAGGGUAGUGGGUAAAGAAGCGCCGGCUAACUACGUG
Molecule: ribosomal RNA, 488 nt
Filed under: uncultured bacterium
Lineage: Bacteria
Description: partial 16S ribosomal RNA
Rfam family: Bacterial small subunit ribosomal RNA
Source: RNAcentral